Long non-coding RNA from Etheostoma spectabile (orangethroat darter), 76 nucleotides. RefSeq lists it as uncharacterized. Lineage: Eukaryota; Metazoa; Chordata; Actinopteri; Perciformes; Percidae. The record is from RefSeq and is a predicted model, not a curated record. The transcript is spliced from 4 exons.
ACUUUGGAAAACACUGUCGAAUCAUCCAUAAUAGUAAACGACGCUAUAAACAAUUCACACGUCGCCUUAAUGUAAC